GGAAAAGAAACUAACAAGGAUUCCCCUAGUAGCGGCGAGCGAAGCGGGAAGAGCUCAAAUUUAUAAUCUGGCACCUUCGGUGUCCGAGUUGUAAUCUCUAGAAAUGUUUUCCGCGUUGGACCGCACACAAGUCUGUUGGAAUACAGCGGCAUAGUGGUGAGACCCCCGUAUAUGGUGCGGACGCCCAGCGCUUUGUGAUACAUUUUCGAAGAGUCGAGUUGUUUGGGAAUGCAGCUCAAAUUGGGUGGUAAAUUCCAUCUAAAGCUAAAUAUUGGCGAGAGACCGAUAGCGAACAAGUACCGUGAGGGAAAGAUGAAAAGCACUUUGGAAAGAGAGUUAACAGUACGUGAAAUUGUUGGAAGGGAAACGCUUGAAGUCAGACUUGCUUGCCGAGCAAUCGGUUUGCAGGCCAGCAUCAGUUUUCCGGGAUGGAUAAUGGUAGAGAGAAGGUAGCAGUUUCGGCUGUGUUAUAGCUCUCUGCUGGAUACAUCUUGGGGGACUGAGGAACGCAGUGUGCCUUUUGGCGGGGGUUUCGACCUCUUCACACUUAGGAUGCUGGUGGAAUGGCUUUAAACGACCC
Molecule: ribosomal RNA, 580 nt
Filed under: Rhodotorula mucilaginosa
Lineage: Eukaryota; Fungi; Basidiomycota; Microbotryomycetes; Sporidiobolales; Sporidiobolaceae
Description: LSU rRNA
Rfam family: Eukaryotic large subunit ribosomal RNA
Source: RNAcentral